UUGGAAGGAGUCAGGACUUUGGAGACAUAAUAUACUGGCCGCUGAACCUUGUAUGCUUUGCCUUCUUCUUCGCGUUCGACUGUGAGAACGGUGCUGACGACUUGAUUUGUAGCCGCGAUGUACAUAAGAAGGGGUUCUUUACUGAGCGGGGCAGUAAGAACCGGCUGGGUGGAGAGCAGGGCUUUGAGGUUGUCGAAUGCAAUUUGGGAUUCGUCUAUCCACUCGAAAGUAUCUGAUUUCUUCAUGAGUCGGUACAUAGGUAGCGCCUUCUCGCCGAGUCGACUGAUAAACCUGCUCAAAGCCGCUAGGCAACCUGUGAGCCUUUGAACAUCAUGUAUUCUGACUGGCCGCUCCAUUCGGACGAUGGUCCCGAUCUUUUCGGGGUUGACAUCAAUUCCUCGUUCGGAAACGAAGAAACCGAGUAACUUUCCGCUGGGAACACCGAAUGAACACUUGGCAGGGUUGAGCUUGAUAGCAUACCUACGAAGGUUGGCGAAUGUUUCUGCCAAGUCAGUCAGCAGGUCGAAACCUUUGCGUGACUUGACUACGAUAUCAUCCAUAUACGCCUCCACAUUUCGACUGAUCUGGUCAAGGAGGCAUUUUUGGAUCAUGCGCAUAAAAGUUGCUCCUGCAUUCUUCAAACCGAAUGGCAUAGUGAUGUAGCAGAAGCACCCGAAUGGGGUGAUGAAGGCUGUUUUUAAUUCAUCGGGACCAUACAGACGAAUCUGAUGAUAGCCCGAGUAAGCAUCAAGGAAUGACAAAUGCUCGCAACCCGCAGUCGAAUCAACAAUUUGAUCAAUGCGGGGGAGCGGGAAAUGGUCUUUCGGGCAGACCUUAUUGAGAUGCUUGAAGUCGAUGCACAUUCGGAGAGACUUGUCCUUCUUGGGCACCAUGACAACAUUGGCGAGCCACUCGGAGUGGUGUACCUCGCGAAUGAAGUUGGCUACCAAAAGUUUAGCCACCUCCUCUCCGAUUGCCUUCCUCUUGUGCGCGGCGGACCGACGCAGGCGUUCUCGGACGGGCCGGGCAGCAGGAUCCACAUGCAGUCGGUGCUCAGCCAACUCCCUGGGUACACCUGGCAUGUCAGCGGGCUUCCAUGCGAAAAUGUCCCAGUUCUCACGGAGGAAUUGGAUGAGCUCGGCUUCCUAUUUUGGAUCGAGGGUGGCGGAGAUGUUCGUCGGGGCAGCGGUGUCGUCCGUCGGGUGGAUGCUGACCUUUUUCGUGUCUCCCGCCGACUGGAAUGCGGACGCCGAAGCUGGCUUUUUCAAACGCAUCAAGUCAGCGGGGUCGGCUGUCUUCUUGUACUCGUCCAGCUCGAGGAUAGCCAUCUGCUGAUCGGCGAUCCUCGACCCCUGCUGCAGACACUCCUCGGCCCACUGCCGAUUGCCUGUGACAGUGAUCACACCUUUGGGACCCGACAUCUUCAGCUUCAGAUACACGUAACAUGGACGGGCCAUGAAACGCGCAUACGCCGGAUGGCCCAGAAUCGCAUGGUAUGCACUCUGGAAGUCCACCACCUCGAAUGUCAGCUUUUCCUUGCGGAAGUUCUUGUCGGAGCCGAAAACGACAUCCAACGCGAUCUGGCCGAGUGACUUGGCCUUUCGUCCAAGGACGACUCCGUGGAACUGCAUGCUGCUCUCGCUAAGUUUGGACAUCGGAAUGCCCAUCCCCUUGAGAGUGUCGGCGUACAUGAUGUUCAAGCCGCUGCCGCCGUCCAUGAGGACUUUGCGCAGUCGGACUCCUUCCACCACUGGGUCGAUGACCAGAGCCUGCCUCCCUGGGGUGGGCACGUGUGCUGGAUGAUCCGACUGGUCAAAGGUGAUCGCAGUCUGAGACCAUUUGAGGAACGUGGGGUUGGUUGGGGUAGCCAUGUUCACCUCCGUGUUCACCAGCUUCAGUCGACUCUUGCUUUCCACGUCAGCAAAAAUCAUCAGUGUUGCAUGGACUUGGGGGAACGGAUCCUCCUUGUCCUCAUCAUCCUAUUCAUUGUCCUUUUCACUCGGCUGCCCUUCGCCGAACAUUUGGAUCAGGAGGCGACAUUGCCGAGUGGUGUGCGUCGGGAAUACGGCGUUGCCUUCUUCGUCCAUCUUCGUGUGGAUUGGACAUGGCUGAUCCGGGAUGGAGUUUCCGAACUGCUUCUUCUUGGGGGUGAACUGAGCUUUCCCCUUGCCCUUGAACUUGGCAUAGGUAACGGCUGCUGCCUCUGCCUGCGGAGUGGACGGAGCUUUCUGCUUCUGCUUCCGAGUGUUGUUCCCAUCUCCAUCGGCGACUGCUUUAUGCUUGCCGCUACGUAUGCGGUCCUCUUCUUCGCCAUUUGCAUAGCGUGCGGCUAUCUCCAUCGUCUUGCUCAUGGAUGUCGCCUGUCCGACCGAACUUCAGGUACAGAUCUCUGUACCGCACGCGUGCCUUGAAGGUGCAGACUGCUUGGUGCUCUGUGGCGUUCUCCACUGUGUGGUAGAGGGUCGUCCAACGCUGGAUGAAAUCGCGCAGGGGCUCAUUCUGCUUCUGGACACAGUGCUGGAGCUCCACGAGACCAGCAGGGCGUUUGCACGUGCCCUCGAAGGUCCUGAUGAAGACUCGGGCCAGAUCUGCCCAGCUGUAGAUGCUUGAAGGAGCCAACUGGUUCAGCCACGCUCGUGCCGACCCGUCGAGCAUCAGGGGGAGAUGUUUCAUGGUGACCUGGUCAUCUCCGCCACCGAUCUGGACCGCCACUCGGUAGUCGUCCAGCCACGUUUCUGGCUUGGAUUCUCCUGUAAACUUGCUGAUCCCCGUCGCCAAUCGGAAGUUGGGAGGGAUGUCAGCUGAACGGAUGGCCCGACUGAAGCACUUGGGGCCAGAGACGAUGGUCCUGCUUCCACUCGUACGGUCUCUGUCGUGACCAUCAUGGUCAGCUCGACUCCUGUCGACCUUCCUCUAGGCGAUGUACCCUCUUGCGUCGGGCCUUGGAUCAUAUGUGUCACCGACUGAAUGCCGAUCAUCAUGAUGUCGGGGCCCGUAAGGCCCACCUCGCGGAGGAGUGCGUGAACGACGACGAUCUUCGGGAUUCAUGGAACGGCUGCCUCCUCUACGUCGCUGAUGAGAAUCGGGGCUGUAAACCGACCGAUGCGUGUUCGCGUGAACAGAACUGUUGUGGAUCCUGUUGUGUGACUGGGAGACCGCCGAAUUCUGUUGCUGCACCGUGUGCAACAAGGCACGGAUCUGCUCGAUCCCUCUACCAGCCUCUGAAUCAGUCGGUUGGAGGGAAUCGACUAUCUUGGCAGCGGCAGCCAGGUUGAGGACGGGUGUGCGGAACACCUCCACGUUGCUCUGAUGAGUGCGUCGACUGGCAAAACGACGGGGUUGACAGCGAGCGCCGGAUGACUCGCCGACCUCGUGCUCGUUCCGACCAGUCUGGCGAGGACUUUCAUGGGAAUUGGCCAUGAGAACCUCGACUGUGGGCCCGCGACCCAAGUACUUGGAAGGAAACUCAGUCGGAACUGAGUCCAAGCACUGGGACGGCGGCGCGACCACAACCGACUCGAGGACCGCCACUUGAGAGGACGCGUUCUGGCGCGCCUGGGCGUGUCGCUGUUGGGGAACGUCGCAUGGGAAACAAAAUUUUUCCUACGCGCAUGAAGACCUAUCAUGGUGAUGUCCAUCUACGAGAGGGGAUGAGUGAUCUACGUACCCUUGUAGAUCGUACAGCAGAAGCGUUAUUGAACGCGGUUGAUGCAGUGGAACGUCCUCACGUCCCUCGAUCCGCCCCGCGAACAAUCCCGCGAUCAGUCCCACGAUCUAGUACCGAACGGACGGCACCUCCGCGUUCAGCACACGUACAGCUCGACGAUGAUCUUGGCCUUCUUGAUCCAGCAAGAGAGACGGAGAGGUAGAAGAGUUCUCCGGCAGCGUGACGGCGCUCCGGAGGUUGGUGAUGACCUUGUCUCAGCAGGGCUCCGCCCGAGCUCUGCAGAAACGCGAUCUAGAGGAAAAACCGUGGAGGUAUGUGGUCGGGUUGCCGUGGAAAAGUCGUCUCAAAUCAGCCCUAAAACCUCCGUAUAUAUAGGUGGGAGGGAGGGUACCUUGCCUUGGGGCUCAAGGAGCCCCAAGGGGGUCGGCCGAGUCCAAGGGGGAAGGCUCCCCCCCCCAAACCGAGUUGGACUUGGUUUGGUGGGUGGGAGUCCUUCCUUCCCUUCCCACCUCCUCUUUUUUUUCUCUUUGAUUUUCUUUCCUAGGCGCAUAGGGCCCUUUUGGGCUGUCCCACCAGCCCACUAAGGGCUGGUGUGCCACCCUCAAGGCCUAUGGGCUUCCCCGGGGUGGGUUGCCCCCCGGUGAACUCCCGGAACCCAUUCGUCAUUCCCGGUACAUUCCCGGUAACUCCGAAAACCUUCCGGUAAUCAAAUGAGGUCAUCCUAUAUAUCAAUCUUCGUUUCCGGACCAUUCCGGAAACCCUCGUGACGUCCGUGAUCUCAUCCGGGACUCCGAACAACAUUCGGUAACCAACCAUAUAACUCAAAUACGCAUAAAACAACGUCGAACCUUAAGUGUGCAGACCCUGCGGGUUCGAGAACUAUGUAGACAUGACCCGAGAGACUCCUCGGUCAAUAUCCAAUAGCGGGACCUGGAUGCCCAUGUUGGAUCCUACAUAUUCUACGAAGAUCUUAUCGUUUGAACCUCAGUGCCAAGGAUUCAUAUAAUCCCGUAUGUCAUUCCCUUUGUCCUUCGGUAUGUUACUUGCCCGAGAUUCGAUCGUCAGUAUCCGCAUACCUAUUUCAAUCUCGUUCACCGGCAAGUCUCUUUACUCGUUCCGUAAUACAAGAUCCCGCAACUUUCACUAAGUCACAUUGCUUGCAAGGCUUGUGUGUGAUGUUGUAUUACCGAGUGGGCCCCGAGAUACCUCUCCGUCACACGGAGUGACAAAUCCCAGUCUUGAUCCAUACUAACUCAACUAACACCUUCGGAGAUACCUGUAGAGCAUCUUUAUAGUCACCCAGUUACGUUGCGAUGUUUGAUACACACAAAGCAUUCCUCCGGUGUCAGUGAGUUAUAUGAUCUCACGGUCAUAGGAAUAAAUACUUGACACGCAGAAAAACAGUAGCAACAAAAUGACACGAUCAACAUGCUACGUCUAUUAGUUUGGGUCUAGUCCAUCACGUGAUUCUCCUAAUGACGUGAUCCAGUUAUCAAGCAACAACACUUUGUUCAUAAUCAGAAGACACUAACUAUCUUUGAUCAACUAGCUAGCCAACUAGAGGCUUGCUAGGGACGGUUUUUUGUCUAUGUAUCCACACAUGUAAACGAGUCUUCAUUCAAUACAAUUAUAGCAUGGAUAAUAAACGAUUAUCUUGAUACAGGAAUUAUAAUAAUAACUAUAUUUAUUAUUGCCUCUAGGGCAUAAUUCCAACAGUCUCCCACUUGCACUAGAGUCAAUAAUCUAGCCCUCACAUCAUCAUGUGAAUUACAUUGUAAUAAAUCUAACACCCAGCAAGUCAAAGCAAGAAUACUUCCGACCCUCCUGCAACCAAUGAAACUGAAGAGCUGCCUUGCAUCGGGGGCACGAGAACCUUCCAUGCACACACCAUGCAGAGAAUAGCACAUACGCUGGCAAGUCAUGCAUAGAGUACAUGUACCACAGAUGCAUUUUGAAGUUUUCUUUUCUAGAGGCAUCGUAUGUCUUGACCCCAUUAUCCCAAGUUUCUUCCAAUUCAUCCUUAAGCGGUUGUAGGUACACAUUCAUAUUCUUCCCCGGAUAAUUGGGCCCUGGAAUUAUCAACGUCAGAAAUAUGUUCUUUCUUUGCAUAAUUUGCCCGGGGGGAGAUUGAGUGGAAUGACAAAUACAGGCCAACAACUGUAUUGGGUUGUCGUCAUGCCGAAGGGAUUAAAACCAUCCAUGGCGGCCCAGACUCGAGGAUUCCUUGGAUCUGCCGCUUUAUCCUGAUGCAAUCCAUCGAAAUGUUUCCACGCUUCCCCAUCCGAUGUGUGUACCAUCAUCUUAUUCCCAUCCGCAUCUAGCUCGGUUCUUUUUCCCAAUUUGUGCCAUGUCAUCUGUCUGGCUGUCUCUUCGACCAUGAAAAGACGUUGAAGUCUUGGUACGAUUGGCAUAUACCGAAGAACACUAACUGUGAUUUUGGUCUGCCUCUUCUCACCCAUACCGUUGUCUACCACAAGAUACCUGCAAGACUCGCAAUUGGGACAAUAGUCCAAGUGUGCAUACUCCUUCCUAAAUAAGACACAUCCUUUCUCACAUGCAUCUAUCUUCUCAUAGGGCAUCUUAAGUACACGAAGUAUUUUGUCCGACUGGUACAGGUUUGCAGGCAUGACAUGGCCUUUGGGUAGGAAACGUCCAAAUAGUGUCAUCAUCGCGUCGUAGCAUUCUCUUCCCAAGUUGAACUGAGCCUUCAGAGCCAUUACUUGUGCAAUUGCAUCCAGCUGACAGAGCUCAGUGUGCUCAUGGAGAGGACGUUUUGAAGACUCCAACAUUUCAUAAAAGGCCUUUACAGAUUCCUCCAUCUCAUCUUCCGAAUCCCGAGCAUCAUCAAAGUCUUGCACCAUGUCUUCAAUCCCGGUACCAUCACUAGUGGAAAACGGGCCUUUGGCCGGGACCCUUUAGUCCCGGCCUGCCUCUGGGCCGGGACUAAAGGCCCGGCCACGUCGCCCCAAAUCGCAAUGCCUCCCUCGAGGCUUUAGUCCUGGCCCGUAAGGAGCCUUUAGUCCCGGUUUGUGUCCCAAACCGGGACUAAAGGGCUACGCGGGGUGCAGCCCGCAUGUGCGCCACCUUUAGUCCCGGUUUGUGUCUUAAACAGGGACUAAAGUCCUUUGCCUAUAUAUAGCACAACCCCCCUCUCCCCUCUUCCUUGCGUUUUUCUUGGAUGGAAUAGUGUGGGUGUGUGCUAGCUCUCCAUUUUUUUCAUGCACUAGAGGUGUUUGUUGAAAUGUGUGUUAGAGCGAUGCCGCUUCAGUUCACCGAACACAACUACGAUAUGAGAUGCCUGAGCCACGCUUAAACCUCUUCCUCUUUAUUUCUACUUAUUCUAAAAGGUUAGCAACUAUAUUUCCUCGUUUAGACCGUUCGGUACUAAUUUUUAGGAUUGUGAUUGUAUUUGAUAUACUGUCGUAUAACGCAGAUGAGCCAUCCAUGAAUGUACGGUGAUCGACGCACAACCGCUUACAGAGAAGGCGUGCAUUCUUUUCGAGAUGCAGCCGAUGCGAACAAGCAUGGUGGUGGCUUUAUGUUUUGUCCAUGUGUUGAAUGUCGGAAUGAGAAGGAUUACACUUCCUCAAGAGUCAUUCAGAGCCACCUACUUCGGUCCGGUUUUAUGUCGGGCUAUAAUGUUUGGACCAAGCACGGAGAAAGAGGGGUUAUGAUGGAAGACGAUGAUGAAGAAGAAGAGAACGAUGAUGACAACUACCAAUCUAUGUUCCCUGAGUAUGCUGAUACCGCAAUGGAAGACAAUGAAGAAGAAGAUCAGGAUGAAGAACGGGAACCAGAUGAGCCUGCUGAUGAUCUUGGCCGGGUCAUUUCUGAUGCACGGCGAGGUUGCGACACAGAAAAGGAGAGGUUGCAGUUCGAGCAGAUGUUACAGGACCACAACAAAUUGUUGUACCCAACUUGUGAAGAUGGCCAGAAGAAGCUGGGUAGCACACUGGAAUUGCUGAAGUGGAAGGCAGAGACCGGUGUGACUGACUCGUCAUUCGAGAAGUUGCUGGUACUGAUGAAGAAGAUGCUUCCAAGAAAGAACGAAUUGCCCGCCAGCACGUACGAAGCAAAGAAGCUUGUCUUGUUCGAAAUAUGCCCUAGAGGCAAUAAUAAAUUAGUUAUUAUUAUAUUUCUUAGUUCAUGAUAGUCGUUUAUUAUCCAUGCUAUAAUUGUAUUGAUUGGAAACACAAUACUUGUGUGGAUACAUAGACAAAACACUGUACCUAUCAAGCCUCUAGUUGGCUAGCCAGUUGAUCAAAGAUAGUCAGGGUCUUCUGAUUAUGAACAAGGUGUUGUUGCUUGAUAACUGGAUCACGUCAUUAGGAGAAUCACGUGAUGGACUAGACCCAAACUAAUAGACGUAGCAUGUUGAUCGUGUCAUUUGGUUGCUACUGUUUUCUGCGUGUCAAGUAUUUGUUCCUAUGACCAUGAGAUCAUAUAACUCACUGACACCGGAGGAAUGCUUUGUGUGUAUCAAAUGUCGCAACGUAACUGGGUGACUAUAAAGAUGCUCUACAGGUAUCUCUGAAGGUGUUCGUUGAGUUAGUAUGGAUCGAGACUGGGAUUUGUCACUCCGUGUGACGGAGAGGUAUCUCGGGGCCCACUCGGUAAUACAACAUCACACACAAGCCUUGCAAGCAAUGUGACUUAGUGUAAGUUGCGGGAUCUUGUAUUACGGAACGAGUAAAUAGACUUGCCGAUAAACGAUAUUGAAAUAGGUAUGCGGAUACUGACGAUCGAAUCUCGGGCAAGUAACAUACCGAAGGACAAAGGGAUUGACAUAUGGGAUUAUAUGAAUCCUUGGCACUGAGGUUCAAACGAUAAGAUCUUCGUAGAAUAUGUAGGAUCCAAUAUGGGCAUCCAGGUCCCGCUAUUGGAUAUUGACCGAGGAGUCACUCGGGUCAUGUAUACAUAGUUCUCGAACCCGCAGGGUCUGCACACUUAAGGUUCGACGUUGUUUUAUGCAUAUUUGAGUUAUAUGGUUGGUUACCGAAUGUUGUUCGGAGUCCCGGAUGAGAUCACGGACGUCACGAGGGUUUCCAGAAUGGUCCGGAAACGAAGAUUGAUAUAUAGGAUGACCUCAUUUGAUUACCGGAAGGUUUUCGGAGUUACCGGGAAUGUACCGGGAAUGACGAAUGGGUUCCGGGUGUUCACCGGGGGGGGGGGCAACCCACCCCGGGGAAGCCCAUAGGCCUUGGGGGUGGUGCACCAGCCCUUAGUGGGCUGGUGGGACAGCCCAAGAAGGCCCUAUGCGCCAUAGGAAGAAAAUCGAAGAGAAAAAAAAGAGGAGGUGGGAAAAGGGGGAAGGACUCCUCCUUCCAAACCUAGCUGGAUUCGGUUUGGAAGGGGAGGACUCCCCCCCUUGGCUCGGCCGAACCCCUUGGGGGUCCUUGGACCCCAAGGCAAGGCUCCCCCUCUUCCCCCUCUAUAUACGGAGGUUUUAGGGCUGAUUUGAGAUAACUUUUGCCACGACAGUCCGACCACAUACCUCCACGGAUUUUCCCUCUAGAUCGCGUUUCUGCGGAGCUCGGGCGGAGCCCUGCUGAGAUUAGAUCACCACCAACCUCCGGAGCAACGUCACGCUGCCGGAGAACUCAUCUACCUCUCUGUCUCUCUUGCUGGAUCAAGAAGGCCGAGAUCAUCGUCGAGCUGUACGUGUGCUGAACGCGGAGGUGCCGUCCGUUCGGCACUAGAUCGUGGGACUGAUCGCGGGACGGUUCGCGGGGCAGAUCGAGGGAUGUGAGGACGUUCCACUACAUCAACCGCGUUUCUUAACGCUUCUGCUGUGUGAUCUACAAGGGUACGUAGAUCGAAUAUCCCCUCUCGUAGAUGGACAUCACCAUGAUAGGUCUUCGUGCGCGUAGGAAAUUUUUUGUUUCCCAUGCGACGUUCCCCAACAGUGGCAUCAUGAGCUAGGUUCAUGCGUAGAUGUCUUCUCGAGUAGAACACAAAAGUUUUUGUGGGCGGUGAUGUGCGCUUUGCUGCCCUCCUUAGUUUUUUCUUGAUUCCGCGGUAUUGUUGGAUUGAAGCGGCUUGGACCGACAUUACUCGUACGCUUACGAGAACCUGGUUUCAUCGCUACGAGUAACCCCGUUGCUCAAAGAUGACUGGCAAGUGUCAGUUUCUCCAACUUUAGUUGAAUCGGAUUUGACCGAGGAGGUCCUUGUAUAAGGUUAAAUAGCAAUUCAUAUAUCUCCGUUGUGGUGUUUGCGUAAGUAAGAUGCGAUCCUACUAGAUACCCAUGGUCACCACGUAAAACAUGCAACAACAAAAUUAGAGGACGUCUAACUUGUUUUUGCAGGGUAUGCUUGUGAUGUGAUAUGGCCAACGAUGUGAUGUGAUAUAUUGGAUGUAUGAGAUGAUCAUGUUGUAAUAGAAAAUAUCGACUUGCACGUCGAUGGUACGGCAACCGGCAGGAGCCAUAGGGUUGUCUUUAAACUAACGUUUGUGCUUGCAGAUGCGUUUACUAUUUUGCUAGGAUGUAGCUUUAGUAGUAAUAGCAUGAGUAGCACGACAAUCCCGAUGGCGACACGUUGAUGGAGAUCAUGGUGUGGCGCCGGUGACAAGAAGAUCGUGCCGGUGCUUUGGUGAUGGAGAUCAAGGAGCACGUGAUGAUGGCCAUAUCAUGUCACUUAUGAAGUGCAUGUGAUGUUAAUCCUUUUAUGCACCUUAUUUUGCUUAGAACGACGGUAGCAUUAUGAGGUGAUCUCUCACUAAAAUUUCAAGAUGAAAUUGUGUUCUCCCCAACUAUGCACCAUUGCUACAGUUCUUCGUUUCGAGACACCACGUGAUGAUCGGGUGUGAUAGACUCCACGUUCACAUACAACGGGUGCAAAACAGUUGCACACGCGGAACACUCGGGUUAAGCUUGACGAGCCUAGCAUGUGCAGACAUGGCCUCGGAACACAUGAGACCGAAAGGUCGAGCAUGAAUCGUAUAGUUGAUAUGAUUAGCAUAGAGAUGCUUACCACUGAAACUAUUCUCGACUCACGUGAUGAUCGGACUUGAGAUAGUGGAUUUGGAUCAUGUACCACUCAAAUGACUAGAGAGAUGUACUUUUUGAGUGGGAGUUCUUAAGUAAUAUGAUUAAUUGAACUAAUUGUCAUGAACAUAGUCUAAUGGUCUUUGCGAAUUACGAUGUAGCUUGCGCUAUAGCUCUACUGUUUUUAUAUGUUCCUAGAGAAAAUUUAGUUGAAAGUUGAUAGUAGCAAACUUUGCAGACCGAGUCUAUAAAACCGAGGAUUGUCCUCGUUGCUGCGUAGAAGGCUUAUGUCCUUAAUGCACCACUCGGUGUGCUGCACCUCGAGCGUCGUCUGUAGAUGUUGUGAACAUGCGACAUACACGUUUCUGAUGACUACACGAUAGUUCAGUGCAAAAUACUUAACUGCUUAGAAGCAAGGCGCCGAAAACGUUUUGAAACGUCACGGAACAUAAGUGAUGUUCUAAAGAGAUGAAAUUGUGAUUUCAUGCUUGUGCCCUUGUUAAGAGGUACGAGUCCUCCGACAAGAUUCUUUGUCCACAAAGUAAAGGAGAAAAGCUCAAUUGUUGAGCGUGUGCUCAGAUUGUGUGAGUACGACAAUCGCUUGAAUCAAGUGGGAGUUAAUCUUCCAGAUGAGAUAGUGAUAGUUCUCCAAAGUCACUGCCAUCAAGCUGUGAGAGCUUCGUGAUGAACUAUAAUAUAUCAAGGAUAGAUACAAUGAUCUUUGAGUGAUUCGCGAUGUUUGACACUACGAAAGUAGAAAUCAAGAAGGAGCAUCAAUAGUUGAUGGUUAGUAAAACCACUAAGUUUCGAGAAAGGCAAGGGCUAGAAGGGAUACUUCGUGAAACGGCAAAACAGUUGCUGCACUAAUGAAGAGACCCAAGAUUAAACCCAAACCCGAGACUAAGUGCUUCUGUAAUGAGGGGAACAGUCACUGAGGUGGAUCAACUCUAGAUACUUGGUAGAUAAGAAGGAUGGCAAAAGUCGAAUGAAGUAUAUUUGAUAUACAUAAUGUUGAUGUGUACUUUACUAGUGCUCCUAGUAGCAUGAGGGUAUUGGAUACCGGUUCGGUUGCUAAGUGAUUAGUAACAUGAAAUGAAAGCUACGGCAUAAACGGAGACUAGCUAAAGGCGAGGUGACAAUACGUGUUGGAAGUGUUUCCAAGGUUGAUAUGAUCAAACGUCGCACGCUCCCUUUACCAUCGGGAUUGGUGUUAAACCUAAAUAAUUGUUAUUUGGUGCUUGCGUUAAGCAUGAACAUGAUUGGAUCGUGUUUAUUGCAAUACAAUUAUUCAUUUAAAGAGAAUAAUGGUUACUCUAUUUUUCUUGAAUAAUCACCUUCAAUGGUUUAUUGAAACUCGAUCGUAGUGUUACACAUGUUCAUGAUAUUGGUGCCAAAAGAUACGAGGUAAUGAUGAUAGUACCACUUACUUGUGGCACUGCCGCUUGAGUCAUGGUGGUAUAAAUUGCAUGAAGAGGCUCCAUGCCGAUGGAUCUUUAUACUCACUUGAUUUUGAAUCACUAGUGACAUGCAAAUCAUACCACAUGAGCAAGGCCUUGUUUUCAUUGAGAUGAAACAAGAUAGUAACUUGUUGGAAGUGAUACAUUUUGAUGUAUGCAAUCCAAUGGGUGCUGAGGCACGCAGUGGAUAUCAUUAUGUUCUUACUUCAAUGACGAUUUGAGUAGAUACAAGAGUAUUUACUUAAUGAAUCACAAGUCUGAAAUAUUGAAAAGUUCAAUUCUGUUUCAGAGUAAAGUUCGUCGUAACAAGAGGAUAAACUAUCUACGAUAUGAUCAUAGAAAUGAAUAUCUGAGUUACGAGUUUUGGUACGCAGUUAAGACAAUGUGGAAAUUGUUUCGCAAUUCAUGCCACCUGGAACAUCAUAGUGUGAUGAUGUGUCUGAAUGUCAUAGCCACGCACUAUUUGGUAUGGUGCAUGCUAUGAUGUCUCUUAUCGAAUUACCACUAUCGUUUAUGGGUUAUGCAUUAGAGACAACCGCAUUCACUUUAAAUAGGGCACCACGUAUUUCCGUUGAGAUGACACAGUAUAGACUGAGGUUUAGAGAAAUCUAAACUGUCAUUUCUUAAAAGUUUGGGGUUUUGACACUUAUGUGAAAAAGUUUCAGUCUGAUAAGCUCGAACCCAAAGCGGAUAAAUGCAUCUUCAUAGGAUAUCCAAAACAGUUGGGUACAUCUCCUAUCUCAGAUCCGAAAGCAAAAUGUUUGUUUCUAGAAACGGAUCCUUUCUCGAGGAAAGGUUUCUCUCGAAAGAAUUGAGUGGGAGGGUGGUAGAACUUGAUGAGGUUAUUGAACCAUCACUUCAACCAGUGUGUAGCAGGGCGCAGGAAGUUGUUCUUGUGGCGCCUACACCAAUUGAAGUGAAAGUUGAUGAUGGUGAUCAUCGUGCAUCGGAUCAAGUUACUACAAGCCUCGUAGGUUGACAAGGUCGCGUACUACUGCAGAGUGGUACGGUAACCCUGUCUUGGAGGUCAUGUUGUUGAGCAACAGUGAACCUACGAGUUAUGGAGAAAGCAAUGGUGGGCCCGGAUUCCGACAAAUGGCUAGAAGCCAUGAAAUCCGAGAGAGGAUCCAUGUAUGAAAACAAAGUGUAGACUUUGGAAGAGCUACUUGAUGGUCAUAGGACUAUUGAGUAAAGAUGGAUCUUUAAAAGGAAGACAGACGAUGAUGGUGAUAAGUCACUAUUAAGAAAAGCUCGACUUGUCGCAAAGAUGUUUCCGACAAGAUCAAACAAUUGACUAUGAUGAGACUUUCUCACUCGUAGCGAUGCUAAAAGUCUGUUAGAAUUAUGUUAGUAGUUGCUGCAUUAUUUAUGAAAUAUUGCACGUAGGAUGUCAAAACAUUGUUUCCUCGACGGUUUCCUUGAGCAAACAUUGUAUGUGAUACAACCAGGAGGUUUUGUCGAUCCUAAAGAUACUAGCAAGUAUGCAAGCUCCAGUGAUCCUUCAAUGGACUGGUGCAAGCAUCUCGGAGUUGGAAUAUACACUUUGAUGAGAUGAUCAAAGAUUUUGGGUUUGUACAAGGUUUAUGAGAAACUUGUAUUUCCAAAUAAGUGAGUGGGAGCACUAUAGAAUUUCUGAUAAGUAUAUGUGGUUGACAUAUUGUGGAUCAGAUGUAAUGUAGAAUUUCUGUAAAGCAUACAAGGUUGUUUGAAAGGAGUUUUUCAAAGGAGUACCUGGAUUGUGCUACUUGUACGUUGAGCAUCAAAGAUCCAUGGAAAUAGAUCGAAAGCGCUUAAUGGAAGUUUCAACAAGAUGCAUGCCUUGACAAGUUUUUGAAGGAGUUCAAAAUAGAUCAACAAAGAAGGAGUUCUUGGUUGCGUUGUGAGGUGUGAAUUUGAGUAAGACUCAAAACCCGACCACGGCAGAAUAAAGAGAAUAGACGAAGGUCGUCUUCUAUGCCUUAGCCGUAGACUCUAAAGUAUGCCAUGCUGAGUACCGCACCUGAUGUGUGCCUUGCAGCAAGUCUGUUAAGAGGUACACAGAGUGAUCCAGGAUUGAAUCACUGAUCAGCGGUCAAAGUUAUCCUUAGUAACUAAAUAGACUAAGGAAUUUUUCUCGAUUAUGGAGGUGGUUAAAGAGUUCGUCGUAAAGGGUUAUGUCGAUGCAAGCUUUGACACUAAUCCGAAUAACUAUGAGUAGUGAAACGGAUUCGUAUAGUAGAGUAGAUAUUUGGAGUAUUUCCGAAUAACACCUAGUAGCAACACCUAUAAGAUGACAUAAAGAUUUGUAAAGAACACACGGAUCUGAAAGUUUCAGAACCGUUGACUAAAACCUCUCUCACGAGCAAGACGUGAUCAGACCCCAUAACUAUAUGGGUGUUGGAUUCGUUGGAAUCACAUGGUGAUGUGAACUAGAUUAUUGACUCUAGUGCAAGUGGGAGACUGUUGGAAAUAUGCCCUAGAGGCAAUAAUAAAUUAUUUAUUAUUAUAUUUCUUAGUUCAUGAUAAUCGUUUAUUAUCCAUAUGCUAUAAUUGUAUUGAUUGGAAACACAAUACUUGUGUGGAUACAUAGACAAAACACUGUCCCUAGUAAGCCUCUAGUUGACUAGCUCGUUGAUCAAAGAUGGUCAAGGUUUCCUGACCAUAGGCAAGUGUUGUCACUUGAUAACGGGAUCACAUCAUCAGGAGAAUCAUGUGAUGGACUAGACCCAAACUAAUAGACGUAGCAUGUUGAUCGUGUCAUUUUGUUGCUACUGUUUUCUGCGUGUCAAGUAUUUGUUCCUAUGACCAUGAGAUCAUAUAACUCACUGACACCGGAGGAAUGCUUUGUGUGUAUCAAACGUCGCAACGUAACUGGGUGACUAUAAAGAUGCUCUACAGGUAUAUCUGAAGGUGUUCGUUGAGUUAGUAUGGAUCGAGACUGGGAUUUGUCACUCCGUGUGACGGAGAGGUAUCUCGGGGCCCACUCGGUAAUACAACAUCACACACAAGCCUUGCAAGCAAUGUGACUUAGUGUAAGUCACGGGAUCUUGUAUUACGGAACGAGUAAAGAGACUUGCCUGUAAACGAGAUUGAAAUAGGUAUGCGGAUACUGACGAUCGAAUCUCGGGCAAGUAACAUACCGAAGGACAAAGGGAAUGACAUACGGGAUUAUAUGAAUCCUUGGCACCGAGGUUCAAACGAUAAGAUCUUCGUAGAAUAUGUAGGAUCCAAUAUGGGCAUCCAGGUCCCGCUAUUGGAUAUUGACCGAGGAGUCACUCGGGUCAUGUCUACAUAGUUCUCGAACCCGCAGGGUCUGCACACUUAAGGUUCGACGUUGUUUUAUGCAUAUUUGAGUUAUAUGGUUGGUUACCGAAUGUUGUUCGGAGUCCCGGAUGAGAUCAUGGACGUCACGAGGGUUUCCGGAAUGGUCCCGAAACGAAGAUUGAUAUAUAGGAUGACCUCAUUUGAUUACCGGAAGGUUUUCGGAGUUACCGGGAAUGUACCGGGAAUGACGAAUGGGUUCCGGGUGUUCACCGGGGGGCAACCCACCCUGGGGAAGCCCAUAGGCCUUGGGGGUGGUGCACCAGCCCUUAGUGGGCUGGUGGGACAGCCCAAGAAGGCCCUAUGCACCAUAGGAAGAAAAUCAAAGAGAAAAGAAAAAAAGAGGAGGUGGGAAAAGGGGGAAGGACUCCUCCUUCCAAACCUAGUUGGAUUCGGUUUGGAAGGGGAGGACUCCCCCCUUGGCUCGUCCGAACCCCUUGGGGGUCCUUGGAACCCAAGGCAAGGCUCCCCCUCUUCCCCCGAUAUAUACGGAGGUUUUAGGGCUGAUUUGAGAUAACUUUUGCCACGGCAGCCCGACCACAUACCUCCACGGUUUUUCCUCUAGAUCGCGUUUCUGCGGAGCUCGGGCGGAGCCCUGCUGAGAUUAGAUCACCACCAACCUCCGGAGCGCCGUCACGCUGCCGGAGAACUCAUCUACCUCUCUGUCUCUCUUGCUGGAUCAAGAAGGCCGAGAUCAUCGUCGAGCUGUACGUGUGCUGAACGCGGAGGUGCCGUCCGUUCGGCACUAGAUCGUGGGACUGAUCGCGGGACGGUUCGCGGGGCGGAUCGAGGGACAUGAGGACGUUCCACUACACCAACCGCGUUUCUUAACGCUUCUGCUGUGCGAUCUACAAGGGUACGUAGAUCGAAUAUACCCUCUCGUAGAUGGACAUCACCAUGAUAGGUCUUCGUGCGCGUAGGAAAUUUUUUGUUUCCGAUGCGACGUUCCCCAACAUGUCUGCCCUCUAGGAUUAGACGUGCAGAAGAUACAUGCAUUCCCUAAUGACUGCAUCCUCUACCGCGGUGAGAAGUACGAGAAUAUGGAUAAAUGCCCGGUAUGCAGUGCAUUGUGGUAUAAGAUCAGAAAAGAUGACCCUGGUGAUAUUGAGGGCGAGCCACCCAGGAAGAGGGUUCCUGCCAAGGUGAUGUGGUAUGCUCCUAUAAUACCACGGUUGAAACGUCUGUUCAGAAAUAAAGAUCAUGUGAAGUUGUUGCGAUGGCACAUGGAAGAUCGUAUGAAAGACGAUAAGUUGAGGCACACCGCUGAUGGUCGGUAGUGGAGAAAAAUCGAGAGAGAGUUCCCGAGAUUUGCAGCUGACGCAAGAACUUAUGGUUAGGUCUGAGUACAUAUGGCAUGAAUCCUUUUGGGGAGCAGAGUUGCAGUCACAGGACCGUUACUCUAUGUAUCUACAACCUUCCUCCUUGGUUGUGCAUGAAGCGGAAGUUCAUUAUGAUGCCAGUGCUUAUCCAAGGUCCAAAGCAACCCGGCAACGAUAUUGAUGUGUACCUAAGGCCAUUAGUUGAUGAACUUUUACAGCUGUGGGCCGAACCAGGAGUACGUGUGUGGGACGAGCACAAACAAGAGGAACUUGACCUUCGAGCGUUGCUUUUCGUAACCAUCAAUGAUUGGCCUGUUCUUAGUAACAUUUCAGGACAGUCAAACAAGGGAUACAAUGCAUGCACACACUGUUUGGAUCAGACAGAAAGUAUAUAUCUGGACAAAUGUAAGAAGAAUGUGUACCCGUACAAUCGUCGUUUUCUUCCGCCCAAGCAUCCCUUAAAGAAAAAAGGCAAACAUUUCAAUGGCAAGGUAGAACCCCGGGGGAAGCCUGUCAUCCGUACUGGUGCUGAAGUAUUUGAUAUGGUCAAAGAUUUAAAAGUAAUCUUUGGAAAGGGUCCUGGCAGCCAACCUGUUCCUAACGGCCCUGAUAAGCGCGCACCCACGUGGAAGAAGAAAUCUAUUUUUUGGGAGCUACCCUACUGGGAAGUCCAUGAGGUCCGCUCGGCAAUCGACGUGAUGCACCUGACGAAGAAUCUCCGUGUGAAUAUUCUAGGCUUCUUGGGCUUGUAUGGGAAGUCAAAAGAUACGCCGGAAGCACGGGAGGACCAGGAACGUCAUAAAGGAAGAGAUGGCAUGCAUCCAGGGCAGUUUCAAGGGCGUGCCAGCUACGCUCUUACUAAGGAAGAGAAGGAACUCUUCUUUGAAGUCCUUUUCAGUAUCAAGGUCCUGACUGGCUUCUCGUCGAAUAUAAAGGGAAUUGUAAAUAUGAAAGACAAAAAAUUUCAAAACCUAAAGUCUCAUGACUGCCACGUGCUUAUGACGCAAUUGCUUCCGGUUGCAUUGAGGGGAAUUCUACCAGAAAAUGUUCGCCUGGCAAUUGUGAAGGUAUGUGCAUUCCUCAAUGCAAUUUCUCAGAAGGUAAUCGAUCGAGAAAGUCUGUCAGGGUUACAGAUUGAUGUGGUCCAAUGUCUGGUCAACUUUGAGUUGCUGUUCCCACCAUCCUUCUUCAAUAUAAUGACACACCUCCUAGUUCACCUAGUCGAAGAGAUUAGAAUUCNNNNNNNNNNNNNNNNNNNNNNNNNNNNNNNNNNNNNNNNNNNNNNNNNNNNNNNNNNNNNNNNNNNNNNNNNNNNNNNNNNNNNNNNNNNNNNNNNNNNAGUAUGCUUAGGCAAAUUCCUCAACCACUCGUUAUAUUCCUCAAACUGUCAAACUUUUCAUUUUCUUCAAAUCUGAGAACGCAUAUGACCUCUCCAAAUUCCUCGCAACUAUACUCUGUUCACAGGUACACACAUGUCAGCUGAUGAAUCUCUCGGUUCUCAUCACAUUAACUCAUUUGCAGCGCUACUGGAAGAAACUCUUCAAGGCUCAUCAGAAUCCUCAAGAGUUCAAAAUCAUCAGCAAAUUCCUCAUCUGAAGAAAAUGGAGGAAGAAAGGAAACAGAAGGGAGGGAAGAAACUGGAGCAGAACACAGCUGCUGACAUUCCCGAGGACAUAUACUUGGACUAUUGUACGCCUGAUGAUGAACCUGAGACAAUGGCCAAGAGAAAGAUUAGGCUGCAUAAGAUUGAACGCAGAUGGGCGAAGGAAUGGAAGGAGUACAGGUUUGUGACUCCAAAAUAUGCGAAGAAAUUCGCUUUGAAGCCUCCUGGCAGAAGGGCCCCACUUGAGGAUUAUCAAGAAGCACAUCCCUCAAGUCAUAUAAAAAUUGAUGACUACCCAGAUGAGAAAGAAAAGCAUUUGGCCAAGCUUAAGAGGCAAGCAGAAGCUGCCGUGAGGAAAUUCAAUGAAUCCUCAGCUGCUGCCUCCGGUGCUGCUAAUUCCUCAGCAGCAGAAACCUCAGGCUCAGAGAUUCCUCAUACGCAGUCUGUGCAAACAAAGCAAAGGGCUCCAAAGCCUCAAGAGAAGUCUGUUCAGGCUUCUGUCACAAAACCCUCAGCUCCAAAACUCUCAGCUCCAAAACCCGCGGUUCCAAAACCUUCAACACCAAAACCAUCAGCGCCAAAACCCUCAGCACCAAUCUCCUCUGACCCAAAAUCCUUAGCUCCACCUCCAAAGCCUCAAGAAAAACCAGCACAGAAGAAUGUCGUGAAACCUACGACCGCCAGCUCCAGUUCCUCACUCCCAGCUGCAACCAGCUCGGAGACAAAGUCUUCAACACCACCUGUGAAGACUUUGACAACUGCUCAACCUGCACCUCUGUCCAGCCCCAGCAAAAUCAUCGCAGUCCCGUCUGCAUCAGAGGGAAGUGAUGAGUAUGAUGAUGAAACCCUGCAAGCCAUCAUCAGAAACAAGCAAGAACGGGUAGCACAAGCAUCAGGCAGUGCUAUUCCUCUGGCAAUGGACCCCAAGGUCCUCCUCGACUACAUCAAUGUAUGGUAUGAGGACCCAAACACACCCAUUGAUGAUUUGAAACUUCCUCCUGGCAUCAGCCACAUGGUGGCCACCUUCAUAAACGAAGCCAAGUGGAAGGAACAGAAGGCCAAGCAGGCAAGGGUUGCAAAGGCCAAAAAGGAGAAAUUCCUCAGGCAGAAUCUCCUCAAGCUGACUCCUGAUGCACUGGUAUCAACCCAGGCAGAUCUGCAAGUCUUGACUGACAAGUGUGACAAACUAUCAGACCGCAAAAGCAUCAAGCGCAAUUUCAUCAAGCUAGCCACUAGUGCUGUUGAUGAUUACACCAAACGACACCCACCCCCAGCACCAACUCCUCAGCCCCUGGUUGAGCAGCCAGCAGAUACAUCUCCUGAUAAGGAGGAAACUCCUCAAGCCGAGGAAGAACACCAGGAGCGCCGUGCUGAUGAACCGGCCAUUGAAGAAAUCAUCACCGAGACUGCAACUGAUGAAAUUGCAAUCACUGAAGAGACUGCUCCCGAUCCAGCUGCUUCAUCAAAGCAGGCUGAUGACUCUGUUCCAGCUGGUUCCUCACUACCAGCUGAAGAAUCUGCAGAAAGAACACCUUCACCAAAAGCUUCAAAGGUGAAGAAGAUAAUCCCGUCUGCAUCAGACGCAAAAAAGACAAGAGCUGCUGAGAAAGAAGCAAAGAAGAGAAAAGCUUCCUCAGCAGAAGAAAAGAUAGAGGCAAAGCGCCUCAAGGAAACUGAAGAAACUGCUCCACUGGAUCCAGUACCUCAGCCUGAAGCUCAGCCAGAACAAGCAUCAUCUCCCCAGACAGAAAUACCAGCUGAUGAAAUUCCUCAACUUGAGGAAAUUGCUGAAGAAAAUGUACCCGCCCAAGACAAUGAAUUCAUUGUGCUCAACCCAGAGACUGCCAUUGUUGUCUCCUCCUCCAUUCCUCAGCAGAAUAUUAAGCCAGUUCAGCGCCAACCCUUCUCCAAGCAUCCAAAGUUUGAGAAAGAAAAUUUCUUUGAGAAACGCAUGUAUUUCAUCGGAGAGAACCCUUAUGACAAGCCUCAAAUGAGGCAUCUUAAGUUUUGGACAAGGACUCAGAUGAACUACUACGCCUCUGUGCUCUGUGGACGCAACAAGAUAUUCCAGCACCGCCACAUUCCUCAUGUUGAGCUUGAAGCAUUACCUUGCAUGGAACCAGUCCUCAGUGUACUCCAUGAUGCAGGUUUGCUCCCCAUGUGCUCCGACAUCUCCGACUGGAAUAGUGAGCUUAUUCUUCAGUUCUAUGCAACUCUGCACAUCUCUGGCAACGCUGAUGACAUCAACACUUGGGUGUUUGAUUGGAUGACCCAAACCACUCACCACAGGGCUCCUGCUUCUGAACUCCUCAGAGAACUGCCCGUACCAAUUCCUUCAGAUGGGGCAGUGAAGCUUUAUGGUGAGCGUGAGCUGCCAAAUGGAAUGAUGGAAGUCCUCAUGAAGCCUUUGGCUGCAGGAAAACCCUCAAGAACCACAUUCCUCGUCCAUGAGCUCAAGUACACACCCCGGUCUGUCUACAGAAUCCUCUGUAGUGUGCUCGUGCCAAUCAAAGGGCAUGACGAUGAAGAAGAUGUGGUAGGCCUCAUGAAGAAUAUCCUCUUCAACAUCAUUCACGGUAUUCCUAUCAAUAUUCAUGAUUUUUCUUGAGGACUUUGGCUGACAAUGCCAUGUGCCCCUAUGACCACAAGAUUUAUGCCCCAUGGAUCAUGAGAUUCAUCAGGACAAGGACAUGCAUCAACUUCCACGCUGAUUUCCAAAACCAUGUUGGUUAUAUGCCUCCUAUCCGGGUCAACAAGAAGACUUUCGAGCCCAUUGAGGGAAAAGGAAAAUCUGUGAUUGACGAAGGCAGCAGGCCCCUUGAUGGUCAGUUCAAAGAGCCAGAUGCAUAUUCUUCAUGGGACGAUACUGAGACUCGUCCACCAAGCCCUGUUCCUCCUCGAGUGCUAACCACCAGAGAGCUUCUCCUCAGUCUUCAUCAGAAGGUGGAUCACAACCACAAAUGGGUCAAACGCCAGUUUGGUGCCAUUUUGAAAACCCUCACUGAAACCCAGAACUCUGUGAAGAUUAAUCAUCACUAUCUGCAUGAGGUUUUUGAUCGCACCUGGGCUACCCUUGCACAUCUCAAGACCCAGACUGAGCUUGAAGAAAUGAACUUUGAACAUGACUUUGACUGGUCGUGGCCUCCCAAGAAGAAGUUCAUGCCCAUUCCAGUGCCAGAUCUUGAAGACAGCUCCUUUUCUUCAUUCCGCACCGCCGAAUCUGAUGAGGAACAACUCGACACAACAACCGGCCCAAGGAAGAAGACUACACCCAAGAAGCGUCAAGGAUCUUCAUCAACCGCCAAGAAAUGAAGUCUUCGCGGGCGUUAGUCCUUAGUUUGUCCCUUUUUGUCACUUGAUGACAAAGGGGGAGAAACUCGAGAGUUAGUCCUCAAACGGGAUAUUUUGGGGCUUAUGAACUAUAUUAAGUUACAAACUCUUGGCUCUUUUGAAGUUUUUAUGUAAUGAGUUGUAACUUAAGCCCGAUGGUACUCUGACGCUUUUGAACGUUUUCUUCGCAUGCUUAUUCCUCAAGUUUUAAUGCACGCAUGCUGAAAUUCAUCAGAUACCAUUUGCCAUCAUGCAUUUUCAUUUUCUUCAAAUGAUAUGUUAUAUGUAUGCAUGAUUUACAAGACUCAGGGGGAGAUCUCCAUGAUAUAAAUCAUCAAUGUGCAUUUGCUGUGAAAAGAAAAAUCCUCAAGGUAUGCACAUCUUCAGGGGGAGUCUCUCUGAAUCUUGUUUUCAAAUUCCUCAAAUGAGUAUUUACACUCCACAUUUUUAUUCCCUGUUGAAGACUUAACCUAAUUGUCAUCAACCACCAAAAAGGGGGAGAUUGUAAGUGCAUCUAGUGCCCCUUAGUGAUUUUGGUGGUUUGAAGACUUAUAGGUUAAGUAUCUAAUGUGUUUGUGAGUGUACACAGGAUCUAUAAGUCAUCGAGGAGUUUGAGAUAUUUGAAGAAUAUCGACCCCUAAAAAUACAUGUCUUCAGUUGAAGAAAUUGGUCUGAAGCUGAAGAAAUGAAUCGUGAGGAAUCUGCGAUGAAAUUGAUAUUCCUCAUGAAGAUAUUGAUAUUGAGAAGAUCGGUGGUUCCUGAAGAAAAUCGUUCUGAAGAAAUUGAAGCGUGAAGAUUUACGUUUUCUGUUUUACUUUCUUCCCAUUUGAUGAAUAGGAACACCAUACUGUUAAAGGGGGUCAAAGUAACACUAUGGAAUGAAUUUCCUCAUGAUGCUCAACCCAAGCCUAAUCCUACCAAAAGCCUCAAGUGAGGAAUAUGAGUGACAUGAGGACUCUCGCAGUUGAGGGUCCCGACCGUUUCGAUAACCACGCCAAGUCAUUGGUCUUAUCCACUCCAAUGGUCAUAUUAUUUAAGGGCAAUAGUGUCAAAUCAUGUCGGGAUGCUCCCAGGCUAUAAAUAGCCACCCCCACAACCACUAGCUGGUUGGCUGCUCCGUUAGAAACUGACACUUGUCAUAAGAGCAACCCAAAUUCCUCAGAGCUUUCUAGAGUAAAUCAUCAGUGAGGAAAUACACCACCCACCGAAACCACAAACCAAACCUAGUGAUUGAGCAUCACUGAAGAAGUUGUUCCUGUGUGGGACUGAAGCCUUUUACCUCUGAGGACUGUGCAUCCUCCAGACGGUUUGGCUCAUGGUCUAGAGCAAUCCAGCAGUCAAUUGUGGAUUGCCGGGUGACCGAGUUUGUGAGGGUUUGGAAGUCUGCCCUGAAGACUUACCACGAGUGUUGGGCGAGGACUGUGUGUCCUUAGCUCAAGGAGAAUACGGUAGGGACUGUGUGUCCCGGGACUGGGUGUCCUUUGGUUUCAAUACCAAGCCGCUCCAAACCAGAUGUACAACUGUCACAGCAGUUGGAACUGGGUCAUCAACAACAGUCUUCACCAAGAAUCGGGUUCUAAUUCCUCAACUCUUUACUUUCUCUGUAUUAUGUGUUGAUGACUUUCACUGUGGUUGUUUAAAGAAUUUGCUAAAGACUUUCUCUGAAUUUCCUCAACCCCAAAUUCUUCACUAUAGUUAAUCAUCAUUUGUUUUCUGUGUGCCUGCUUACUGUGCAAUCUGUUUUCACAUUCUUCACUCUGUAAUACUGCUAUUGUGAACGUUGGCACGUCUGAUCCGUAACUGCUUCCGCUGUAAGUUAGUCAUCAGUGAGGAAUUUCCUCAGCGAUGAAAUUCUAAAAAUCUCCUAUUCACCCCCCUCUAGUCGAUAUAACGCACUUUCAGGCCUUUUGACAAUCCAUUUAUUUUCAAGUCCAAUUUUCAAAUGGUAACAACUGUCAGAUUUUUCUAGGCAUAUGUUCCAAUUGUUAGGUUUUGAUAUUUUUUUACAGCUUAUUGAUAAGAAAUAUAUCAUAUAGAAAGGAGAGAAAAAACAUAUGAAAAUCUUCAAAUAGCCUCAUUCACAUUCUAGUUUAUUACAAUAUUCUAGUGAGAACAGAACAAAACACUGAAACUACAUACACUCAUUCACAUUACAAUAGCCAGUUUAACCAACAAAUCUUGCAUACCCAGGAACUUCAAACUUCACUUGGAUAACCAAACAAUAUUCCACACAAUAAAAAAUAUUGCAAUCUACAAAUAAAACGCUCUGCAAGUGUAAAAGAUGACUACUCUUGGAUACCAUGGAACAUGCUCUUCGACAUGGAAAGAAGUCAUCAACGAUGUUCUACCAACGGACGUUCCAUUCACCUACAAGAACAGAACGGAAUAUCAAGUACUUGCAUUGUUCCAGCAGAUUACAACCAACAUAUAUAUGUAGAAGUACAUCAGGAAAUAUGAUGGAGCAAAUCGGACAACAAAUACAUUAAGUAGACAGCCCAACUGAUGGUUGAUGACGACAAGCAAAAAGUAUACACCCAGGUUUGCAUCCAAACAACAUUUAGAGCUAGAAUGAUAACUAAUAGACUAUAAGCAUACAAAAGGAAAUAUAAUUUCAGCAAAAUUAAAACCGAUGAUGAAAACUAAAUAAUAGUGCAGCAGAUUAGCUCUUAGAAUGAAGGAACAUCAUCAAAUUAAACAAGACAGUUGUUCAUGUUUCUAUACAACUAUUCAUGAUUACAGUUUGUUAUUGUCGUCCAAAUUCUCCAACAUGUACAAAAUUAAUUAAUACAUCUGAAUGAACAAACAUGACGCCAUGAAGCAUCAGGCCAGCCAUGAUUUACAUAUUUUCCAAUGAACAAACAUGAUACAUGCAUCAAGCAUUAGGCCAUUAAGCAUCUGUCCCAUAUUUGUUCAACAGGACGAGUACAUACCUGAAUUUGGGUCGAUGCGAUGGAUGAGGCUGCAGUUGAACAUCUGGUCUAGGGAUGAGCCUGCUAAUCCAAAUCGAACAAACAAAUUCAUUAGGAGGGGCUUGGAGAGACAAGGAAGAAAUGAAGUAAACAUACGUACAUGUCUAUAUAUAAGCAGCAGAAGCAAGUAAUAUAAAUAUAUCCUCUUUCUUCCUCUACAACACUAAAUAGAGCAACACCAAUCAUUGUACACAAGGAGCAGCAACGGCAAGCCGAUAAAGAAAGCUCAGGAUUUGUGUCUUUUGCAAGUUUUAGCACACUAGUACAUGUGUUAAAAUGAAAGUGUCCCUGCUGGGUUAUAUUAAUAAAUAAUCCAAGUGUUGAAACAGUCAACAAAAUAAAAAAAAUCUAUACACACGCACAGAACACAACACACCUGGUUGCUUGCAAGGCUAUUUUUUGUUGGCCAGACUGCUUGCAUCCAAGAAUGAAAAAGGAAUUCGUUCGUUUGUAGGCUGUUGUAUAUAAGGUGCAAAUGAAACAUAAUGUGAUGGAUGCUGACUGCCUACGUGCACAAUGGGUGCCGGCAACGGAUGCCGCUGCCGUCCGCCUGCCUACUACUGCUGUACCUAGCUGCUGCUAUUGCUGCUGCAAAUGGGGGGUUGAGCCGCAGGCGUAGCACAGCAGGCCAGGGAAGUGUGUAGCUGUUCCUGAUGGAAAUUUUGCAAUCACAAGAGAAACAAAACAUAAUAGGCAAGCAGUGUGUAUAAUCCAUGGACGACACAUAAAAACAACCAUCUGCUUCGGCGGGACUCAGUAGUACUUAAGUCUAAAAUUCAAUCAGUCAUCUGGAGCUGGCACGAAAGGGACAAAGCGAGCAUGAGAACAGAAUUCGCCCUAAUUAAAGGUGCCCGUACGCUACUACUGAAGAAAAAAGAAACAAACAGAAACCAUUUGACUGAAUUAGAGGUGCAGAUAGUUGAUCUUUGAAUUUAGAAAUUACCUGUAAACAUAACUCGUCAAUACAAUACACAAGAAAUUGCAAGUAAACAUAAUUUUCGAUGGUCCGUACAAAAAGAUAUUAGCACUAAACUGAAUUUAUAAAGACAAUAAUGAGCAAGUUUCAUCAGCUAACUCUAAGUGCUUGUGCGACCAAAGAGAACUAUAGCAGGAGAAUUUUUUAUGCUAACUAUAAAGAUAUGCAUCGAUCAGUACAAACAAAAGAAGUAUAACUACCAACAAACAACACAUAUCGCUGAAAGCAGUACCAAGUAACCGACAACAAGCUCUCAAACAGGCAAUGCUAGGCACAAUUGCUAGUAAUACAUGUUAUUUUUGCAAAGUGGUUUAGUGCUAUGAUAUUUUUCUACACGUACUCUCGGAUUUUUCUUAGUCAUAUACUGAUCUGCUCACUCCAGUUCUAUCUACUCACCAUAUUCACAUGCAACGUAAGGAACUAGUGUAGAAAACCACUCAACCGCAUUCACAGCAACGAACAAGGUAGAUGGAUAUAUGCGUGCAUUGGUCACCUCGCGUCCCUGACCUGCGCGAACUUGAUGAAGAAGACGUCGGUGUAGUUCUCACAGUCCUCGGUGUCCAUGGGCUUGCACCUGAACCCAAACAAACGCACGCACACACAGAGAGACACGGAAAGAAAGAAAAAUGGUGAGCACUGAACAUUAGCAGGGAGAAGAAGAUGCGGAUUCAGGUCGCUUCUAUCGGUUCACUCUUCCAGGGGGGCGUACGCCAAGAACGUGGAGCCGAGCUCGUCGCCGCAAUCGAGUGUCGGCACGUUCCAGACGACGAGGUACCUGCGGUCGAAUCGGUGUUCGGGAUAAGACGCAAGGAGGGGUUAGCGGCGGUGAUGCGGAGGAGGAGAGGCUGCGCUAGGGUUGAGGAGUGGUGGUUACUUGGACUCGUCAUAGACCCAUCCUGCAGCAUCGGCAUGUCCUUGACGCUGACCAUCCCCGGCAUGUUCCGCACAAUAGACUCCGUCAUCUUGGCUCCGAUCCGGAAAUCUCACCACCAGAGGGGGACGAAGCGGCCGCAGAUCUGGUGCUCCGGCGAGAGGCCAAGCGAUUUGGAGUGGAGAUAUCGCUAGGCUUAGUGGCGGGUCGGAGCGAUUUGGAGGAAGAAGUAGGAGGGGAGAGGCUUACCGGUGCCAGAUCCGACCACCUCUGGCCUCGCCGUCACCGGAUGUGUGAGAUCGAUCCCGGGGGUGUGCUGCGCACCGGUGAGAGCGGCGUCAACUCGCCAGAAUCAAGCGGCGCCAGUGACGGCGGCAGAGGAGUCGCAGGAGGGGGACAUAGAGAGGGCUCGCGGGGGAGAACGGGGAUAGUGGUUUUGUUUAGAUUAGGUCGAACGAUAUACAUUGGAUCUGCAUGGUGUGGACGGUCUAGAUUCGCUAGAGCGGGGUGAUCCGUGGGAGGGUGUUUUCAACCUCCUGAUUGGUUCAAGAUAUGUGUAAUUGAAAAUGGUUUUUAGUGCUAUAAAAACAAGGAAUUUUUUAAAGAAACAAUGAAAAAUAUUUUACAAAAUGACACCAUGCUAUAGUUUUUUCAAAUGUUCCCACAUUGUUCCCAAAUGAAAAAAUAUUUUACAUAAUGACCGCAUUUUCAAAUGGGGAUGCAAAAUUCAAAAAAAUUCAAAAAACUGUAAAACCUUCGCAUUGUGUCACUUUAUGUGACCUAGUUAUCAGGAAAAACAAUAAACUUGAAUACGACAAUUAUUUUUAAAAAGUGUUCUAAAAAGUGAGCUAUCACUUAUGAAGAUUCAUAGCUUUCAAGCGAGAUGAUCGAUCUUAUGGCCACAUUCAUGGCAUAGUUUGUUCAAAUGAUCUCAUAUUGCACACAAGGUUGCAUAUUGGAAUGGCCAACAAUGUUGCUUAAGGAAGUUUUCAUUUCCCUUGUAUGAAAAAUUCAUUUUCCAUUUUUCAAGUGUCUAAAAUAAGUUUUUUGUGAAGGACCUACCAUAUAUUUAUUGCCAAAUUGAACCAAAUCAUUUUUCUAAAAUUCUUUGCCAUAUUUAAUGUACAAUUGACCAAAUAUUUGGGUGUUAAAAAGUUUUUAUCCACCUGUCGUGAAAAAGACAAAUUUCCCCGGAUUCAGUAGGAAGCGGGUCAAAUUUGAACUGCAACUCCCUCAUAGUUUGCUCUUUAUUUUUCCCAAAAAUCAUUUGUAGGUAGAUAUGUAUCUAUUUAAUCAUAGAAAAACCAAAAUGUUUCCAAUAUUCAACAACUAGCUAGGAAUGGAAAACAACGGUGCAUCUUGGAAUGGAAAACAACGUUGUAGGUAGAUAUUUUUGUAGGUAGAUAUGUAUCUUGCUAUUUAAUCAUUUGUAGGUAGAUAUGUAUCUAUUUAUUAAAAUGACCUCAUAUUGUGCACAACGGUGCAUCUUGGAAUGGAAAACAACGUUGUCUAAGGAAGUUUUCAUUUUCUUUGGACGGAAAAUUCAUUUUCUACAUUUCGAAUGCCAAAAAUGAGUUUUUUUUGUGAAAGACCUACGAUAUUUUUAUUUGCAAAAUUGGAUCAAAUUAUUUUUGUAAAAUAUCAUAUCAUAUUUAAUGUACAAUUGACAAAAUGGUUGGGAGUAAAAAUCAUUGAGACACCUCUCGUGAAAAAGAAAAAUUUCCCUUGAUUCAAUAGGAAACGGGUCAAAUUUAAACUGCAGGUGCAUUACAGUUUGCUACUUAUUUUUCCAAAAAAUCAUUCAUAGGUACAUAAGUAUCCAUUUAAUCAGAGAUACAUGGUGUGGUGGUAGUACGUCGAGGUUUGGAUGGUGUCUGAGGGCCCCAACUUCAGAGCACGCAAACCGGCAUGCCAACCGCGUGGUCACCCUAAAAGAGCUUCUAUUUCUUCAAAGCAUCUCACUAUAUCCCCUUUUUAUCCGACAUAUACUUAUAAGAUGGAGGCACUGAUGGAAUAAAUCGAAAACAACACCAUUAAUGUACUAAUAAAAGUAACAAAAUGCAUCGAAAUAGGGGUACUAUGCCAGAAGGAGGCCUCCUCUGAACGGCCUUCUACAAUAGAUAUAAAGAGCAAAGCUAUUCUUUAAAUGGAUUCAUAUUUGCUUGGACCGUAUUACUAGACCCGUUCCUUUAUUAAAUAUAUUCAUUUGAAGAAUGGCUUACGGUGUUUGAUUGUGGUAUUAUUGUUAGACGAUAGGCUUAUACCAUGUAAUGUGACUUGUAUAUUAGACUAGACUCUAGAGUGACAUGCCGGUUGUUGAGAAACCUGUACCGGCUGUCCUUAUGAACCGCGACAAUCAAAUAGUGAUCAAGAAAGUAAGAAGCUGAAAGGAUAACAUAAAAUCAUCAAGACACGUCCAGAGAAGGUUAAAAUCUGACUAGAAAAUGAGAAACUCUGUAGUUAUUGCAUUGGAUUAUAUCCAAAAAUCGCAAAAUCUGACAGAUCCUUUUAGUAAGGGUCUAUCACGUAAUGUGACAGAUAAUGCAUCAAAGGAGAUGGGUAUGAGACCCACAAUAUGAGUUGUUCACAGUAGUAACCUAUUCCUUAUGAUCGGAGAUCCUGUGAAUUAGAUGUGGAAGACAAGUUGUUGGUCAACUGAGAGGAAAGUAUCCUUAUCGUUGAUAAUACCACUCCAUGAAGAUGCAUGACUCAUUAGGGGUACUUUCCUAAACUGCAUGGCAGGUUGAUAUACAUCAUAAUAUGUUCUAAGUGGCUUAUUGAAGCAAAGAUGUGGUCCUUCAGAACAUCUUUUGAAGAACACACCUAUAUGACUCUGAUCGUUAACGUCGCAAUCUAUGGGAGUAGGGUGCUCUCUAGUAAACUCAUGAAUGGUCUUGGAGUAUGACACAUAAGCUCCACCUGCAGGGAAGUCCCACGGUAGCCUAGUAUCGGUCAAGUCUCUUUGUGAAGCUAGAUUCGCAGAAUACUUGUUGUUCAAGGCCUAGUCCACUUUUCAAGUUGCUUACUAGUGUAGCAUAUCUGUGAGAAGUCAAUUAAGAGAAUGUAGAUAAGAGGGGAAGAUCUUAGCAUCGAUAUCUGGUAGUGACAAAACAAUUAAGAGAAUGUAUAUAAUGAGACUUAUCAGGGCUACAGCACACACGUGUGAUCGAGCUAAAACAACCCGAUCAGACAAGCUGUUUCAUUGAUUUGUUUCUUACAUCAUCAGUUUAACUAGCGAUAGUACUUGUUAAAUUCGUCGCCACGGCAAUUUGAAUGGUUUGGAAAUUUAGUCAUUCAUGGAAGACUCUAAGGCUAGCUUGCUGCUCGUACCAUUUAUUCAUUGUUUUGUUGAUUAAAUCUGAUUGACAAGAACUAGCUAGUCGAUCGGUCGUGCAUGCAUGUGAGUGAGGUGAGUUGAGGCCCAUAUAUAAGACCGACAGAGCGACCAUGUUUGGUUUCAUGCAUCCAACUUAUCAGCACCAAAUGCAUGGCAUGCACAUGGACAAGAAGAGUGAAGUGGUAAGGAUAUAUUAAUACAAUUAGUCUAAUCUGCUAGAGAAGAGCAAUGUGGCGCUGUGCCGCAAGGCCGGUAACAUACAACAUCGAAGAAGCGCUCUAGAGUUUCAAGUGAAGCAUAGUUGAAUGAGUCAACCAUGCACAAUAAUCAACUAGAAGAAUGACAAGUACGUAGUACAAUUUAUUUCACGAUAUGAAUAAACAUAUCGUGAUGGGUCCAUGAGGUUCCCUAUAUCCGGAUUGUUACAAGUGCUCGAUCAGGCGAAAUAAAGUCGCCAAAAGAAACAAGUAAAAAUGAAACAAAAACUAGUGCACGUACAAUGUGCAUUCGUGACAAUGAAAUUAUGAGAAACAAUAGAAUAUAAUUUGGUGUGUGUGGCAGGAGGGGGGGGGUAUGUUAUUUGGCGCAGACGAUGGUGUAUGCUUCUAAAUAUUAAUGAGAUGCAACUUACGGAAUUGGCCGGCUAGCCUCCGUGAAGCUAUCCUCCAUCUUCUUGAACUUCUCAGCGGGUGCUGCGGCAGUAACUAUCUUAGCGGCUAUCUUGUAGGCCAAUAGAUGUGUAUCAAAUUUCGCCUUGUCUCCCUUGGCCUUCUUCAUCGUGUCCAUAGCGAGGAGUUCCUGCUUUGCAACAGCCCCGGCUACUUUGAUCCUUUCGGAUGGUGGGGCGGCGGCGAGGACCCCGUCUAGGGCCGUCUUGAUGAUGGGUGUUAGCUCAGCCAAGGCGGCCUCCUCGGACUUGACGAUGGCGGCGCUUGCAAGCAUUGGUAAUGAUGCGAUUUCCACCAUGACGAUGAGAAGGGUUAGUGCCACCGCAAUGUUCUGGAGUGGGGCCAUUGCUCUUGUUGGCCUAACAGGUUGCUGAGAGGAAUGACUCACCAGGAUUUCAGUGAGAUUGAUGUUUUCACCGUGGAGGUCUAUAAAGGUGGUCCUUGCUUUAAAUAGGUG
RNAcentral lists this long non-coding RNA (30942 nucleotides) under Hordeum vulgare. Its description in RNAcentral is "long non-coding RNA (HVUL_LNC008431)". The record is from RNAcentral. Lineage: Eukaryota; Viridiplantae; Streptophyta; Magnoliopsida; Poales; Poaceae.